Panicum virgatum (switchgrass) is the source of this 108-nucleotide long non-coding RNA. RefSeq lists it as uncharacterized. The transcript is spliced from 2 exons. NCBI's taxonomy places the organism in Eukaryota, Viridiplantae, Streptophyta, Magnoliopsida, Poales, Poaceae. The record is from RefSeq and is a predicted model, not a curated record.
AGCCGCUAUAGAAAAGGCUGGAUACACUGGAAAGGUGGUUAUUGGAAUGGAUGUUGCUGCUUCUGAAUUCUUCAGUGAGAAGGAUAAGACUUAUGAUCUUAAUUUCAA